AUAUGACAAAUAAAAUGGUACGAGUAUUAGAUGUGGUUGUCUCAUUUAUGUAUGUAUCUCCUUCAUAUUUUUUCUGCUCAUUGCUUUUGGUUCUUCGCCUAAUCUUUUGCCUCUUGCUCGAAAUUGAGCACAGGAGUGUAGAGAGGAGUAUUUUUUCAAAGGGUGGUUUGCCCUCUCUGCAACUCAAACGAUCUCUCAUGUGAAAAAAAAGGGAAAAAAAAUCAAACAACCCUUCAAAUUUUUGACUCAAAUGGCUCUAUAAGUUAUGGGGUUGAACUAAAUUCAUGAGAUUUGGAGAAUUUUGAGGUUUCAAUUGAUACUUGGCAAGAGAAAUUUAGAGACCCGUAUCUUGGCGGGGCGACCCGGAAUGCAACCCGAGGGCGUGGCUGCAUUUACAGGCAAAGCAUAGAAAAAUGGAGGUUCAGCCCAGUAUAAAGAAUCGAAAAGGGACAAAUAUAUUCCUGUGCUAAAAAGAAUGAGGCCAACAGAAAGAUAAGGGAAUUCUUGGAGGGUGGUUGCCCCCUCUGUUUGGCCUAUGAUUUCCCUAUAAACAACAUUAACAACCCUCUUCAGAAGUACUAGUGCUUUGCUGUUUCCUCUGAGCUUUAGACCAAUUAUCCAGCUAAUAUUUGCUUUGUAAUUGUUCACAAGCUUGCUUGUGGGAGACUUUCCAUCUUUCAAAAGAGGUUGUGAUGAUAAUGCUCAUGGAAGAACCCUCACCAUAAUUUAGCCCUGAAAGGAAGAAUGAGAUAUCAGAGAGAGAUGGGUUUUUCUGUAAAGGGUGGUUGUACCCUCUCUUCUAUGUCCAUGAUUUCUUCUCCAUUCAUAAAAUACCAACAGCCCAUUCAGAAGAAAAAAAGAACAAGAUUGUUGAUUAUUGUGUAUAUAUAUGCUUCUUCCAAUUCCUGCUUCUGCUACUACUACUGUAGCUGGUUUUCACAAAUAGUCACUUUUAUGCCCCCGUAAAUACAAGGUAGAAAUGACACAACAAGGUAGCCGCUUUUAACGGGUCAUUUACAAGAGUUUUGAUUGAUCUGAAAAUGGGCUGUGUUUAUGAUUUCUUUUUUCUCUAUAAUCUACUUCAUCGAGUUAAGAAAAUCCGACCCGUACCUUGGCAGGAGGACUCGGUGAGGCAUCCAUUUGUGAACUGGUGUCUUGCAGCCAUGUUGACGUCGCUUUCUCUUUGCAUGUUUGUAGAAAAGAAAAAUCUGAGCCCUAAAGUGCACGGCAACUAUUUGAUGGUCUAAAAAAAAACACCGUUUGAUGGUCUUGAAUGGAUGGGCGUCCCGGUGGGUUCUUCAUUUUUUGUUGAGCACCCCAUUUUUCAGAUGUAGUUCUCCAUCAAAUUUUUAGCUAAACAAUGUGGUAAUCUGAGAAAAAAAAGGGAUUUUUCAGGGUGGUUGGCCAUCUCAGAUGUGCCAGUAAUUUUAUCUUUAGUUCUUACCAACAGCCCUUUUAGCAUAUGUAUGAAGAUAUAUAUAUAUAUAUGUGUGUGUGUGUGUGUGCGUGUGAAUAUUAUGUCUCUUCCUGUCUCUCUAUCUAUGGCUACUUUGAUCUUGCGUGGCUGGAUUUUCAGGCAAAGCAGCAUCAAAAGCAUAGAAAAGGGACAGUUAAGCAGACUUACAGGGUCUCUGGUUAAAUUCUCUCUUACAAAUCAGAGUGUUUUUUUCAGUUGCUUGGACUCUUCAAAAAUGGCGACAGGUGCUUGUUGGAUCCUUCCAAAAUUGUGCAUUUUUGGAGGAUCCGACAUUGGUGCGGCAGCAUUUUCGAGAGUCCGAGUAACACAUGUUUCUUUACUAAAAAAUGGAGGUUCAACCCAGUAUUAGGAAUGAGGCCGACAGAGAGAAAAGGUAAUUCUUGGAGGGUGGUUACGCCCUCUGAUUAACCUAUGAUUCCUAAUAAGCAAAUUCAACAACCUUCUUCAGAAGUACUAGCACUCUUUGCUGUUUCCUCUGAGCUUAGCAAAUUUACUCUGAUCUCUUCUUAUGUUUGUUAAAAAUUGCUUGAAAUUGUCCAACUGUCUGCACGUGGGAAAGUUUCCAUCUUUCAAAAGAGGCUGUGAUGAUAUUGCUAAUAUGGGUUGAUUUUCGGGGCAUGAAGACAAUCUGACCCGUAUCUUGGCAUGGCAAACCCGGAUGGUUUGUGAUUGAGCCUUGUCAUUCAGAUGCAACCGGUUCCUUUGCCGCCAUGGCGCUGUCAUUUUCUCUUUGGCCCAUUCUUUUUGAAGAUCUGAGCACCACCUGAAACUAGAUUUGGACUGGAUUCGAACCCAGGACCUCUUGUUUGGUGACGAUUUUGGUUAUUUAGUUUUUGUUGAACACCUUAUUGUUGUUCUCCAUCAAAGUGUAGUUGAAAGAAUGAAGCAAUUGGAGAAAAAAUGGUAGCUUCUCAAGAUGGUUGACCAUCUCCAUCAUGCUUAUGAUUUCUACAUCUUUCAGCUCUAACUAAUAUUAAGGACCAUUUUUUGAUAAUGUUCUCUGUUUUUUGUAACUGUUAUACUCUGUUCCAUGGAGGCUCCGGUUAUCUGGAAAAGCAACAGCAAAAGCGUACAACAAUGAAAUGAAAAAGGAAAAUAAUGGGCUGUGAUGAUUAUUUUACUGAACAAAUGGAAUCAGGCAUUGUUGUUUCAGGCCCCUAUCUUGGCAGGGCGACCGAUAUUAUAGGGUUUGCAGCCAUGACAGUGUCGAUGCCUGAGAUAAAUUAAAGAUCUGAGCCCAGAAGAAAGAAUGAGGCCAACCAAUAACCCUUUUCUUUUUUCCAUUGGUAUAGUCAGGGCACUCAUGGUUCAGUUUUUAGUUUUGACCAAAUAAGAACGCAAUAACAUCUGUCGCUAUGAUGUGAUGUUGAUGUCAAUGGUACUUCCUCUUUUCCAUUUUAUAUGUUGUGUUACUCUUCAAAUUCCAAGUUUCCAUCUUUCCGAAAAGGCAGUGAUGAUGUUGCUAACAUAGGCUGUUAUUUGGGCAGUGGGCAAGAGAAAACCCGACUCGUAUCUUUGCAAGGAAAACUCAGAUCAUGCAAUAUGUUCAUUUUGCAGCCAUGACAUUGUCAUCUUCUCUUGCCCCGUUUUACACAGAUCUGAGCCUCAACUUGCAAAUUAGUAAGGGGUCACGCAAUGGAUAUCUGUGCACUUCCCUCAUGUUACUACAAUAACAACAUUACCCAGUGUGAUCCCACAAGGUGGGGUUUGGGGAGGAUGGGGUGUACGACUACUUAUGCCUACCUGUGGUGGGGGUAGAGAGGUUGUUUCUGAUGGACCCUUUGGCUCAAGAAAACAUUUUUCAGAACUGGUUUGAAAAAUAUAAAAAGGUAGGAUGCAAAUACUGAAGAAAGGAAAGUAUUGCCGACAAAAGUAUAUAGUAAAAAUAAGCCCCAUGUUAAUGCAUUGAGAAAACCCUACCCAUAUCUUGGCGGUGCGACAUGGUAUAGCAUCAUCUAGUAACCUAUCUCUGGUUAUGCUACCAUCGCUCUUUUGGAGAAAAUGAAUACUGAAAUGGGCUGUGAUGAUUGCUUUCUUCUGGUCUACAUACUUGCCAGCUUUGAGAAAAUCUGACAUGUAUCUUGGCCGGGCGGCCCGUUAUGGCAACAUUGCAGCCGGUGUCUGCAGCCAUGGCAAUGUUGUUGUUUUCUCUUUGCAUAUCUUAGUGUGGCAUCUUUUGGGGUCUUGUGAGAUAUGGGAGCUAUUUAGGUUUCUGUAUCUCCAAAGACUUCUUAAGGUUGCAGGGGUUUAGCUUAUGUCUUAGAAAUGGUUAAUCUGAGCCUCCAAAAUAUCUGCGUUUGUCCAAGGAAUUAAGAUUUUAAUUGAACUUGAGAAAUGUUGACAUUUUCUGUGGGUGGUUAUUCUCUUUCUCUAAAGUUCAAUUUAGCCAAUGAAUUUGCCAGCACUUCUCUUACAGAGAGAAAGUUAACAAACCUCUUCAUCAGCUAUUGUCAAUUAUGCUCUUGAUGAUGAUAAUGAUGAUGAUGAUGAUUAGCCAUGGGUAUGGCGCAAUAAUAAGGGAAAAUACAUAUUCAAACCCCCCAACUGGUCCAGGAAAACCUGAAUCCUAAACCCUGAACUUUGUGAAUGAGUCUGUGAUGAUAUUCUCCUGGAAGCUUGAAAAUAAGAUUUUAGAACUAAUUAGUAUCUUGGCUAAGCAAAAGCAAAGGAGUUGGUGAGGUAGGUAUAUAUGCUUCUUACCAGGAUAUCUGCUUUUUGCAGUCAUGAGAAGAGGCAGCGAUGAUGAUGUUUCACUUUCCGAGCUAGCUGACUCUGGAACUUAAACAGUUUGACCCGAAUCUUGGCCUGGCAAAUCAGUGGAUGGUUGGAAUUUGGGAUUCUCCCUUUGCACACAAUCAGUGAUUUUGCAGCCAUGGCGUGGUUGCCUGAUAAAGAUCAUAUUUGAGCCUAAAAUUCUGGGCAUCGAACUUGAGUCCUCUUCCCUUUGAAAUUCUUUAGAACUCAAGCAUACAGUGGUACGAGCCAAUAGAACAGAUCCUGUUCAAUUAAGGUCGUCAUAAAAUCCAUUGAUGUCUGCUCCUAGUUUGUAGCUCAAGCUCCAGAUCUAAGAAUGAGGUACUAGAAAAGAUGUGUACUUUUUCUUCUUCCGUAUGCCCAUGAUGUCAAUGCCAUAAACACUAUACUUUCCCAUUGACUGUGUUGACUAGAUAUAUGGAUAUAUAGAUUGAAAUAUAUCUGCAUUUGCAUUUCCAAACAGGCCCAUAUAAAUGAAUCUCUCGACAGCUACCCUGUGUGAAAAUAUACUAUUGAUUGAAAAUGCUAGAGGAAUGGAUUAAACCUUGGAGUUUGUCUUUAACAGUGACAUGCUCUAAUGAUGGCUUCUUUUUGGGCUAUCUACCUUACUGCAUUGAUAAUAUCCGACUUGUAUCUUGGUGGGGUGAGCCAGCAUUGUAUUUUCUGCAAACCAGUGUCUGCAGCCAUGGUGUGGUGACUUUCUCGGAGCAGGAAAAUGUUUUCCUCCUUGCCAAAACACACCCUAUCUCUCUAUAGUUAAAAUUAAUUCCAACACCAUAGCACAAUUAAAGAUUCUUUUACUCAAUAGUGAGAAUCAUCCCAGAAGGAAGAAUGAAUCCAACCACCCUCUUUUCUGUGUUAAUUUUCCAAAAAGGCAAAUAUCUAUUGCCAUUGAUGUGAUGCUGAAUAUUGCUGAUAGCUGCAGUAGUACGACUCCUUAUGGUCCAGUUUACUUGCCUUGAAACUGUCCUCAAAUUUGGACAGAACAGAUUCCAUCUUUCAAAAGAGGCAGUGAUGAUAUUCCUAAUCAGGGCUGAAAAUUGGGGCAUGGAGAACCCCGACUCGUAUCUUGGCAGGGCAAACCCUGAUCAUGCAUCUGGUUCAUUUUGCAGCCGAUGAUGUCGUCUUCUCUUUUCCCCAUUUGAUGCAGAUCUGAGCCUUAACUGCCAAUCUGUCAUUGUGGAAUCUGCAAGACUCUAAAUCAGAACCUCGUUAGAUGGAAAAAAAACAAUUUUGCCUCAAAUGACUCCAGCAUUGGGAGAAAAUGUGGAUAUUUUCAGGGUGGUUGACCAUCUCCUGUAUAUCAAUGAUUUCGUCUUUGCUCUAAUCAGCUGUCUUUUUUGCUUUUGUAUGCGGGCAGAAGUGCACAGAUAAUCAAUUUUAGGACUGCUAUUUAGGUAGUAGUCGGAGUUGAGCUCAUUAUGAAAACCUGUCUGGUUUGUGAUGGGGUGUUCUCUUUCACAUUUAACCGGUUCUUUAGCAGCCAUGACAUUGUCAUCUUCUCUUUUCUUCAUUUGUCGCAGACCUGAUCCUCAAUUUCCAUCUAGUCCUUCUGGAUAUUCCAGCACUCAAAUCAGGACAUCGUCCGGUUGAAACCCAUGUCAUGUUCAGGAGCCGGUUGGUCGUGAGAAUUAUUCAUUUUUUUCGAAAUAAUUUCACUUUAUUACUCUAUUUAAAAUCAGUGUUCGGCUAUACAAUUUCCAAAUCCAACUCGGAGUCGGAUUUCAAAUUUGGAGAACAAUAGAAGUGCUCCAAACUUGUUUUCCAAUUCCAUCUUCAUGAAUUCCAAAUAAGGUGCCCUUUUCUCUACUUCGCAAAAAAUCUAACCAAACACAAUUCCAUCUUCAGUUCUAACUUCAUGUAUUCCAAAUAAAGUGAAAAUAUUUGAAAUCUAUGACCAAAUGUCUACUUAUAAUCAGCUCAAAGAAUGAGGCAAGUUGCAUUGUGGUUGCUGCUGCUGCAUCUUCUUCUGUUCCUUUCGUUCUUAUCGAUUGAGCAGCAAGAAAUCAAUUUAAGAGCAGGGAGAUUGAAGGCUGUGAUGAUAAUGCUGUUUUUGAGCAAUUUGGUUUGGGGAUUGAGAUUAUACGAGCUGUAUCUUGGUGGAGUUGCCUGGAGAGGUUGCUGCCUGCAACCAUGGCAGUUUCUGAUAAACUCAAUGCCUGAUUGAACUGAGAUCUGAACCUUGGUAAGAUUAGAAGAAAAUCCAAAUGGUCCUUAAUGUUCCGGGGCCUGACUAUUUUGGUCCUUGAUAUAUACUCCUUUGCACAAAUGAUCCUAACUGCAAAAAGUGUCCAUAUCCCUUAGACUAACAGAAGGCACCAAAGCUCCUGUUAAGUUUAUCAGAUAUUUUCUCCUGUUCUUGCUACUGUUGGAAUGUUAUGUGAACUAAACAAGUAAUCAAUGUAAGAACAGGAAAAAGUUUAUGGCUUUGAUGGUAAUGCUUUUUUGAAAAAGUUUAUGGCUUUGAUGGUAAUGCUUUUUUCUUUGUUGCGCAAUCGGAAUGGCCAUUGAGAUGGUUAGAGCCUUAUCUUGGCAGAGCAACGUGGGUAGGUUGCAGCCAUGACGGUUUCUGAUUAAAACCAAUGCCUGAUAAAAUUGAAGUCCGAGUUAUGCACAUGUGUGCAUGUAUAUUGUCUGUAUACUACAUACAUGCACACACACGUGCACAUGUCUUGUGAGAAUGAUUAAAAUGGCCCCUUGUUGACGCAGUGAUGAUCUUUCAAUCUAUCCUCCAAGCUAGUAGUUGAGCAUAGAAAGUACCCGACAUGUAUCUUGGUGGGCAAUGACCCAAAUACAUGUGAUUGUUACACACAAUUGGGGCGUUUGUAGCCAAGCUAUGGUUGGACUUCCGUUGCUUGAGCCUCAAUUGUCACUUAUACAGUCAGACCUCUAUGUAGCAGUCUUAUUCUUUCACAACAUUUCACUAUAACAGUCAUGUUUUCUGUGGGACUGAUCUUUCACGUUAUGUUGUAUUUUAUGUUCUCGGUAGCAACAUUUCGCUAUAGUAACCAAAAAAUAUUGGGAAAUAUGAUGCUGCUUUAGAGAGGCUUGGUUGUACCUUACUUUUCGUAUAUUUGCUAUGGAGGAAACUAUUUGAACGAAGCAUGAAUUUCCACAUAUAAGAUCUUCGACAUGAGGCCCUUAAUUUUGGGAGGUCAAAAGAGAUUAUACAACAACAACAACCUAGUGUAAUCCCAAAAGCGGGGUAUGGGGCGGGUGGAGUGUAGGUGGACCUUACUUUACCUUUUUGGGGUAGAUAAGCUGUUUCCGAUUGACCCUCAGCUCACAAAGGAGAAGGCAACCACGCCAUGGCUGUAAGAUCACUGGUUGCAUGCAAAAAAGAGAGCCUCCAUUGCAGGUCAUCUUGGGAUUUGCCUGGCCAAGAUACGGGUUGUAUUGUCUUCAGUGCCCCAGUUUGUUAACCCCAUCAGUUGAGUGAACCAUUGUUGAGGUCCAAAACAAUUUAGGCACUAUAAAUAUGAAGCAGAAGGUGAAAUGAAAAUGGAAAAAAUCUCAUUUGUUUAAGUCUAAGUCUACUGGAUUCAGAGAGUUUUUGACAUAGUUGCCCCUCUCUGUCAUUCUUAGAAGCCAAUGAUCACCCAAAAUUUCCCAAAUUUAAACCACUCUUUUAUUUAGCAAAAUAAGUUCUCAAUCAGGCAGUAAUGAUUUUCAUUCUUUAUUUAUUAGAUGGUUGAGCCUUACUAUAUCUUAGUGUGGCAGCCUUUUUUUUGGGGGAGUGGGGGUGGGGGGUAGUGGCUUUGUGAGAUAUUGGAAUUGGAACUAUUUUAGUUUCUGCAUCUCGCAGAGGCUCCUCAAGCUUGCAGCCAUGGCCGGGUUUAGCUUAUGUCUAAGAGAAGGCGAAUCUGAGCCUCCUAAAUAUCUGUUGAUGCUCAAAAUGAGGCUUUUAUGGAACUCGAGGAAUUUUGAGAUUAUCUAAGGGUGUUUGUUACUCCCUCUCUGAAGUUCAAUUAAGCCAAUGAAUUUCCCUAUACCUUUGUUAUGCAGAAAUAUUAACAGCCCUUUUGCUACAACAACUUACCCAGUGAAAUCCCUCAAGAGGAAGGUUAACAAACAUUUCAUUAAAAAAAUGCCAAUUAUGGUAAUGAUGGUGAAGAUAUCCAUGUUUAUGGUAGUAAUAAGGAAUAGGCAACAUACAUUGAGGCCUUCUGUUUGUCUCAUAAACUUGUCCGGAUAAAUCCUUUGUACUUGGAUCCUAACCCCUAAACUUUGUGAAUGAGGCUAUGAUGAUAUUCCCAAGGAAGCUCGAAAAGUCAAUUUUUUGAGCGAAUCGUACCUUGGUUAGGCAAAGGUAGGAAACUUUGUGAGGUGAGUUCUUAUGUGCUCUCUCACAAAGGGGUCUGCUUCUUGCAGCUAUGGCGGAUUAGCCAUUUUUCUGAUAUAUUUUAAGAUAAUCUGAGCGACUUUUCUGUUAAAUUUAGUUCUUCAAUGACUGGUCCUUCUGUUACAUUCUGUUCAUGUUCUUUCUUUUUGAAGAAUCUCAAUUUCAAAAGAAUUUUUUAUGUAUUCUUCUCCAAAAAUUCCUAGAGAGAAAUUAUUAGGUAUAUUAGAUAAGUCCAAUGCUUUUAUGUAUAUGUGAAUUCAUCUUACACAGUAUCCACACUUUCAUGCCUUCUUUUAAUCUUGAAAAAUCCCAAGUUUCAGAGGCAAUGAUGAUUAUUCUUAAGGAAAAGGAAAAGUGAAGAAGAUUUGGAGUUGAUUUAUGGCCUGGCUUGGCAAUAAAAAUUGGAAAGUCUUUCUUAUAAACCAACCGAUGAUUGCAGGCUUGCAGCCAUGGAAGUGUCAACUCUGCUCUUUUCUUUGAUUAAAUAGGAGAAAAUCUGAGCCUCAUCCUAAGGUUAUUCACACUUUUUUGACUAGUCUCUGAGCAAAUAGUUUAACUAGAAAUAUUUGAAUGAGGCUAAAUACAUUUGAUCCAGAUGAUUUUUUAUGGUCUUGAGACUCUUCUCUCUUUGUUGUUUCCAAUUUUUUCCCCUAUUCCUAGGGCUGAUUGGUUGGAGAAAGGCUUAAAACCAAAAUAAGGAUGUUUAAAUUUAGAAGAAACGUAAAGGAGGAUCAUGCUCUUUGGAAGGAUGUUAUCAUCAGCAAAUACGGACAGACUGAGCAAUGGACGACCAACACUGUGACUAACACUUGUGGAGUCUCAGUUUGGAGAACUAUCAGAAAUUUGUGGCCUAAAUUGUCCGAGAGCAUAGGUUAUAAGGUGGGUGAAGGGACUAGAAUUCUAUUCUGGAAAGACAAAUGGAUCGGCCAGAACUUACUCAUGGAGGAUUUUCCAGAUUUAUUUUCUUUCUGUGACAAUCCUGAAGCAUCUAUUGCUGAGACCUGGACUAACCAAGGAUGGAAUAUCAUCUUUAGAAGGCUUCUAAAUGACUAGGAGAUUGAGUGUGGCCAGCCUGCUGCAAAGGUUGAAUGAUUUCUCUGAUUUAAAUACCUGCCCUGAUACAAUCAGAUGGACAUGAUAUGGAUGGAAAAUUUUCAAUCUGAAGAUUGUACAGAAGAAAUUUGAUCUCACAAUCUGGGAUUAUCCCUGGACCUUGGAAACAAAUAUGGAAAUCUAAUAUCCCUACCAAGAUUAAGGAUUUCACAUGGAAGGUAUGUAAAAGAGCAUGUCUCACUCAGGAGAAACUGAAAAAGAGAGGUUUUGAGAUUAUCUCAAGGUGCUUCUUUUGCAAGGAAAAGGAGGAAACAAAUAGCCAUUUGUUCCUCCAUUCUAGAGUGACUUCUCAGGUGUGGCAUAUGUUUCUUAAUCUCAUCCAAAUAUCAUGGGUGAUGCCUGAGCAUACGACAGAUCUUCUAACCUGCUGGAUGAGAAGAGGCGGGAGUAAAAAACAGAAAAAAUGGUGGAGCCUAGUCCCUUCUUGCUUAUGGUGGUCAGCCUGGAAGGAAAGAAACAAUAGAUGUUUUAAGAAUAUCACUAAUCCAAUGCAGAAAGUAAAAAAAAAUUGCAUUAAUACUUUAUAUCUUUGGUGUUAAGAGGAGGGUAUAGAUGAUGUAGAACAGCUAAUAGAAUUCUUAGGCUCUCUGUAAUUAUGAUUACAUGCACUGUAAUUUUUUUGAUGGUUGACAGCAUACCCACAUUGCUGAGGAAUAUAACUUUACCUUGCUCAAAAAAUUUUUUUUUAGAAGAAAUGUAUUGUGGUUUCCCUAAUCAAAUCAAUAUGCUUUUUGAAAAGUUUGAGCAAGCUUUCUCAUAAAAGAGUAUUUCAAAGAAUGAAAAAGAGUUGUCUUUUUUAUUUUUUCUAGAAUAGCAUGGUAUUGAAUUUUCUGUUUCCUAAUUGCUUGUAGUUAUUUAAAUUCAAGUCACUUUUGUAUUUUCGUAAACAUCAAUUUUUUCACUUUUCAGUUUUGCAGCGUUCAAAAGGUUUACUUUUUUCGUGUGUGUAAUAUGUGUUGUGUAGUAACUAAGAAGGCUAUAACAGCUUCUGAGAGCAGCAAUCAAAGGUUUUGAUGCAUCCGUUUGGUGUUACACUGCCACUCUGGUUGAUCUGAGUCACAACUGCUAUAACACAUCCGAUCUUUUCUUGUCAUGGUUCUUUGUUCUGUUAUUUAGAAUCUCAGGUUCUCAUUUAUUUUGAGUGACUUGUUGUAGAUCGGAGAGAGGUCAUUUUGUCUUUGCGCAAAGGCUUUGGCAUGUGCACUGUUGACUUCUGACUCCGUAGAAAUAAAUUUGAAGCAAUUCAAUGAGAUUCAGGAGCUACGAUUUUGUUUUUGGUGAUCAUUCAUGCCUAGUAAACAUUGAGAUUUAGAUUCAGCAUAGAACUAUUAUUUCAUACUGUUGUUGAAGAGCCAAACAUAAAAUGGUCAUGGAGCUAGACUUUUGAAGAUCUCUUGGAAUAACUGAGAUAUACAAUUGCAUCAACUAAGAAUUACAACAUUUUCUGUUUAAUUGACCAUUUCCAUCAUGCCUAUGAUAUCUAUUUUCUUGCGUUUGAGUUGUAUACAUUGUGACGCUGUCAAUGUGAAUAAUAUUUUACACUAUCACGACAUAUCUAUAUGUUGUGGGAGGUAGCCCGUCUUAUUUUUAAGAUUGCAGAUCCACAUUUCAAGGAGACUUACCUAAAGAUAGCCUUUCAGCAACCUGGUAGUGUAAAAAUUAUUCACACUGAUUGUUUAUCUUAACAUAAACUCAUUUUCUUUUAGCUGUAACCUCACCUGCUAUUUUUCUUCAUAUAUGUGUUUGUGUAACCAACCCCCAUAUAUUAAGUACUAUUUUGAUCAUUUUCAUUGACUGUUAUACUUUGCUCCUAAAGAGGUUGCAUUUCCAUGGCAAAUCAACAGCAAAACCAUGCAGCAAUGUGCUUGAAAAGGGAUAAUAACAGACGUAAUGAUAAUUUUACUGAUCAGAUGGACUUGAGUGUUGUUGUUUUACCUCUGGAUCUUGAUAGGGCAACCUGGACUAUAAGUUUUGCAGCCGUGGAAGUGUUGAAGAACUCAAUGUCUGAGAUCAAUUGCUUAUUCUGAGUCUCAAAUCUUCAUCAAAAUAAUCUGCAGAUUUGAUUUUCAGCUUGUGGAUAUGCAGUGGAAAAAAUCUUAGAUAUUCUUACUAGUAUUAAUGGCCAAGUCUUGGACUGAAACUUCUGUUUUACUGUAAGCCUUUCUACAUCUUAUGUUUAUUGACGUUUCGUUUACCUUCUUUGUUCUUCUUUUCCAGCAACUCUAAGGUUUAGAUGGACUAUGCCACAGUCGACAGUAGACACUUUUGAGUUGUUGGAACAAUGUGAGCAGCUAUGUUAGUCAGAAGAAAAGGCGAAAUUUGUUUACCUGCUUGUAUAUGGUGGAUUAGCCCGAAAGGAGAGGAACGCUAGGCGUUUUGAAGAGAAGCAGCUCCAUCCAGAGGAAAAAGAUGAACUGCAUAAAAGAAAUUAUAAUUUCUUGUAAAAUGAAUAAGACAUGUUUAGUUGCUGUUUCUGUUUUAUUUUUCAACUAUGUACCGGUGCCUCAGUACAUCCUUUGUACUGGUUGCUCAUGAAACUGUUCAUUAUUAAAAAUGGAAUUACCAAGUUCUAUAAGACCGCUAACAGAAGAAGCUGGUAAUAGCCAGAAGCAGAGUGCGGAGUCAGGAUUCAGAGUCUGAGAGUUCUAAAUUUCAAAUUUAAAAAGUUUGACCACAACUCUAUUGUGGAAAACAUUUGUAUGACCUGACCUUAUUCCGUCAAUCAAUCAAUUUUGUUGGGAGAUUUACGAGUUAACAUAUAUAUACAAGUUUAUUUAAUUUUCUAAUAUAAAGUUGACUUAGAGAUAGAAUGUUUGAUUUUACGAUUUAUUAUUUGGUUGGUGAGAUAAAAGGAUAAUAUGGAAGUAUCUAUAUAAAGAGUGUUUUACUGAAGAAAACGAGAAACAGUUCAGCCCAGAAUGAAGAAUGAGGCCAACUGAGAGAACACAAAAAUGGAUUUCAUGGAGGAUGGUUGCCAUCUCUGAUUGGCCAAUGAUUUCUCCGUCCGAUGAAAACUAACAACCCUCCUUAUCAAAAAUUCCAAAAAAAGAAAAAAAAAAUUAAUACUUCCUUUGUUCCAUUUUUACUAGGUUUUGCAAAAUGUCCACAAAUUGCUGUAGAAAAGAUGGAAAGAGGCAGUGAUGACAUUGCUGUGUGAUGAUUCUGGGCUGAAAUUUGGGGCAUGGAGAAAACCCGACUCGUAUCUUGGCGGGGCAAAACCAGAAUCAUGCAAAACCGGUUCAUUUUUUUUUUUUUUGCAGCCAUGGCGAUUGUUGUCUUCUUCUCCUCUUGCCCCCAUUUUACACAGAUCUGAGCCUCAUUUUCAAAUUCGGAUGGAAACCCAGUUCAUUUAGCUCAAAAGACUGAGGCAAUCGGAGAAAAUGGGGAUUUUUUUUUCAUCUCCGGUAUGUCAAUGAUUUCUUCUUUGCUCUAGUUGACAUUCCCUUAAUCUUUUGAUUUAAUUUCCUAGAUUUUUAAUGUUGGGUAUAAAAUUAUAUGUUUUGGGCAUAUGAGUUCUUUAGAAACUGAAACUAUACAGAAAUAUUAACUUAUGUCUCGCAAAAAAUUGUUUGUUAUGAGUGCAUAAACUAAAACCCAACACAAAAUAGGGCAAAUGUGUGAAUGGUCCAGUAAUGGAAGCUCAGCCCAGUAUGAAGAAUGAGGCCAACAGGGAGAAAAAAGGGAAGUUCUUUGGAGGGUGGUUGCCCUCUCUGAUUGGCCUGUGAUUUCUCUUUUAACCAAACUAACAACCAUCUAUAAAAGUUGGAAAAAGAAACGAUGUUUGUUGUCAUUGUCAUUUGCCUUCAAUGGGGGCAAUGUGAUGCUAAUUGGCAAUUGUACUAUUCAAUUUUCUAUUAUUCUGAGCUACAUUUAGUUGCAUGAUCAUAAGUUCUUUAAGGAUAGCAGGACAAAAGUGCAAAUGACCCUCUGAGCUAAGGUCGGCUUAUGCUUUAAAGCCACUAGAAAGCAGUCCAAUCCAAACAGGCUCUUAUUGGAUUAUUCUUGUUAAGGUUGUUCAAAUGUGCUCUUCUGGAAAAGUUCCCAUGUUUAGGCAGUGAUGAUAUUUGCUAAUCUGGGCUGAUGUUUAUUAUUUGGGGUAUGGGGACAAUCUGACCCGUAUCUUGGCAUGGCAAAUCCAGAUGGUUUGUGAUUGAGUCUUCUCUUUCACAUGCAACUGGUUCUUUUGCAGCCAUGGCGGUUGUUGCCUUCUCUCUGCCCCAAUUUUUUGCAGAUCUGAGCCUCAAUUUCCAACUAGUCCAACUGGAUGUCCCAGGACUCAAAGAGUUUUGAACCUAAAUGAUGAUAAAACCCCAUGUAUGCACACACACAAAAAAAACACUUGAUGAGAAAAUGUCAAAAUGGUCCCUUAUCAGUGCAAUGAUGAUCUUUCAAUCUGUCCUCUUUAGCUAGUAAUUGAGCAUUUAGAGUACCUGGCCAGUAUCUUGGCGGGGCAAUGACCCGGAUGCCUGUGAUUUUGUUGCAUGCAACUUGGAAAUAUUUGCAGCCAUCGUAUGACUGGACUCCGACUUUCUUUACCUGAGCAUAAGAUGGAUCUGAGCCUCAAUUCACUUGUGGGUGUAUUUGGAAUGAAGGAAAAUGUUUUAGUGUUCACUACAAUAAAAGAGACAUUUUGUGGCAAUAGAAUUCCUCUUGCUGGCAAUAUUUAUGGCUGCAAAAACAUUUUGCUGCAAAUUAAGUUAAUGCCAUUGCAUCUUAAGUCGCUAGUGUCUUAAGUGACGUUUAUAUAGAGUGAUGUUUAUAAAUACUCAUAUAGGUUAUUGCCGCCAAAUAUAUUCUAGUAGCGAUUAUAUCAUUGCUGCUAAAUAAUUGCCACAAAAUUCUCUGUUUGUUGUAGUAGAAUCAGCCGUAAAGUGGCUAUCUUGUGUAUAACACCAUACUUAAAUGUGAUCCCAUUGUGGUCUGGAAAGUGGCUACCUUGUGUCAUCUCUACAAAUAAUAAGACCUUCGACAUGAGGCCCAUAAUGAGGCUGUGAUGAUUUUCAUUCUUUACUCAUCAGAUGGUUGAGCUUCAGUAUAUCUUGGCUUGGCAUCUUUUUGGGGGUCUUGCGAGAUAUUGGAGCUAUUUGGGUUUCUACUUCUUACAAAGACUCCUUAAGAUUGCAGCCAUGGUGGGGUUUAGCUUAUGUUUGAGAAAAGGCGAAUCUGAGCCUCCCGAAUCUCUGUUUGUAUAAAACAAUGAGGCUCUUUAUGCUACCCAACUUAUGCUGCAUAACUUAAUCCGUAUGGAACUUAGGCUAAGCGAGACGAAAGGUUCUCCAAACUUAUGCAGAAACAAGAGCUCCUGAUUUUGGGGAAAUCCGUGCUAAAACUUGUUAAUUUAAUGCAUUGAGAAAAUCUGACCUGUAUCUUGGCAGGGCAACCUGGUAUGACAUCAUCGGUAAACUGGCGUUUGCAGCCAUGGCAUUGUUCCUUUCUCUUUGCAUCUUCAUAUACAACAACAUAUGAGCACUAAAGUUGAUGGUAAAUUAUUUCUCAGAUGGUCACUUAACUUAAUGCGGGUACUCAGGAACCUAAAUACCCUAUAGGGUUCAGUCCGAGCAACAUAGAAUCAUUCAAUGAGGCAAUGAAGACAAUCUUUAAGAAUCAGAUAGUUGAACUUUGUUGUAACUUGGUGUGGCAGCUCUAAGGGUCUUUGAGCAUCCACUGAAUCAGUGACGUAGCCGGAAUAAGCUAAGCACAUACUCACAUGUCCGCUACCUAAACUUGGAACUGUUGGGAAAUUAUUGAUCAAAAGCACCAUAUUGGCCAAGUUAAUGGUGUAUUCUCAUUCCUGAUUAGAGGUACCAGAUGGGCAAAUUAAUUGGUAGAAUGAAUUGGUCAAAGCAAUAAAUAUAGAGAGAAGAGGAAGCUCCAAAUGACCCAAAAGAAUAGGUUUGUACCCCUAACAUUCAAACGUAUUGUUUUAUAAUGUAUCGUAUUACAUAUUUAUAUUAUUUUGAUGAGUAUAACUGUUGGAUAGAACAAUAAUUCGAAGAAUAAAUCUAUUAGAAAAAUGAAUUAAACCUAAGCUACUAUGAUUUUCUUUUUUUGAAUUUGCAAGGGAAAGCUGUCAAAGACAGGAAAGCUGAUGGAUGUUGAUAAUCAUCAGAUGAGGUGUACGGAGAGAUACAGUUGCUAGAGCCAAUGAUGGAAAAUGUCAAAGGUUUCACCAACCAUGGAGUUUCAAUAUUAGGAGGAAUGCUUUGCUUUUAUUACACUCAUGCUCCUUCUAACUCGAGAGAGACUACUCUUAAGUUAUGGGUAAUGAAGGAUUACAGUGUCAAAGGAGUCUUGGAUACCAUUAUAUAUACUAUACAAGAUAACGUUUUGCAUUUACUUAGACCGAUAUAUAUGUUUGCAGAUGGUGAAGUGCUACUCAACUACAGAUGUAUAGACCAAGUAGGGUUUAACUUCCCGUUUAGGACAUCCAAAGGACCACUAAAAUUAUGGCACAAAUAUAAUAUCCUAAAGCAAGGAAUUAUUUAUACGAUCUCUCCAAAAUCACUUAUUAGCGCUUGCUUAUGUAUGAUAGACAUUUUUUAAUUUUAUCGGUUUUCGAGUAUAUCAUGUAACAAACUCUUAAUUUUGAUAAGUUUAUCUAUUGCACACUAAUUUUUGUUAUGUAAAA
Molecule: non-coding RNA, 16314 nt
Organism: Solanum lycopersicum (tomato)
Lineage: Eukaryota; Viridiplantae; Streptophyta; Magnoliopsida; Solanales; Solanaceae
Source: RefSeq, a predicted model, not a curated record